CAAACGGGCGGCUACGAUUUUGCCCCUAUCCUUAAAAUCUCGCAUACGAAUUUCUGCUCAUCAAUCGCCGUCCAGUUCCUAGUUGAUACCUCACCAUUCCAACCUAUUAAUUAAAGCCUCUGCUUUGCAUCAUUCAAAGCUUUUAGUUAAGAAGCAACAAAUUCGUUGCCUUCCGCGAUAUCGGUUUCGUUUUCGUCUCCCUCUCUCAAUUUGCAUCCCCAUAUAAUAAGAUUUCUAGGGCUUCUGUUAACCAGGAAGAGAAAGAAGAGCAAGGACAAAAAAAUUUAGAAACGAGAGAGAGAGAGAUGAUGGAGCUAUUCAUCCUCGGUUGCGCCGGCGUUGUAGUGCUCCUCCAUAGCGCCAAUUUCUUCUUCCAUGCUUUAUCUCGUAAGAUCGGCUUCCGAUCCCUCAGCUUCCUUGGAUUCAUUGGGUGAGUGGGGAAUCAAUGGAUUGGGAGCUUCAAAUAUGCUAGAGUAAAUCUGUUCAAUGAUGGUUGAUCGUUGAACUUCGAAGACAGACAAGUCUGAUGAACUGUAAUUUAUUUUUUGCGUUAAAUCUGCGAAAUUUUAGUUGUGUUGGAUUUAUCUUAAAUUGUCAGCUUCUCUCCUUCCCCUUUUACGCAGAAUUAUUUUUUGGGAUGGGAUAUUUGUUAGUCUAUAUAGAUGAAUGAAAUGCGGAGUUAUCUACCAUUUUAUA
This is a long non-coding RNA of Dendrobium catenatum, 696 nucleotides long. RefSeq lists it as uncharacterized. The transcript is spliced from 2 exons. The record is from RefSeq and is a predicted model, not a curated record. NCBI's taxonomy places the organism in Eukaryota, Viridiplantae, Streptophyta, Magnoliopsida, Asparagales, Orchidaceae.